CAGCAGCCACGGGAAUACGUAGGUGGCAAGCGUUGUCCGGAAUUAUUGGGCGUAAAGGGCUCGCAGGCGGUUUCUUAAGUCUGAUGUGAAAGCCCCCGGCUCAACCGGGGAGGGUCAUUGGAAACUGGGAAACUUGAGUGCAGGAGAGGAGAGUGGAAUUCCACGUGUAGCGGUGAAAUGCGUAGAGAUGUGGAGGAACACCAGUGGCGAAGGCGACUCUCUGGUCUGUAACUGACGCUGAGGAGCGAAAGCGUGGGGAGCGAACAGGAUUAGAUACCCCAGUAGUCCCUGUCUCUUAUAC
Molecule: ribosomal RNA, 301 nt
Filed under: uncultured bacterium
Lineage: Bacteria
Description: partial 16S ribosomal RNA
Rfam family: Bacterial small subunit ribosomal RNA
Source: RNAcentral